Miniopterus natalensis is the source of this 366-nucleotide non-coding RNA. The record is from the annotation of a RefSeq genome assembly. NCBI's taxonomy places the organism in Eukaryota, Metazoa, Chordata, Mammalia, Chiroptera, Miniopteridae.
AUGGGGCUUGGGCUCAGCUGGGUUUUCCUUGUUGCUAUUUUAACAGGUGUCCAGGGUGAGGUGCAGCUGGUGAAGCCUGGGGGGUCUCUGAGACUCUCCUGUGCAGCCUCUGGAUUCACCUUCAGUAGCAACCACAUGCACUGGGUCUGCCAGGCUCCAGGGAAGGGGCUGGAGUGGGUCUCGUACAUUAAUCCAGGUGGAAGUAGCACAUACUAUGCAGACCCUGUGAAGGGCCGAUUCACCAUCUCCAGAGACAACGCCAAGAACACGCUGUAUCUGCAAAUGAACAGCCUGAGACCCGAGGACUCAGCCGUGUAUUUCUGUGCAGCAGACACAGGGAGGGGACGUGCCAAUAUAGGAAUUUGA